RNA transcript from Dreissena polymorpha, 5457 nucleotides. It is a transcript of the gene named F-box/LRR-repeat protein 4-like, with no coding region annotated. The record is from RefSeq and is a predicted model, not a curated record. Lineage: Eukaryota; Metazoa; Mollusca; Bivalvia; Myida; Dreissenidae. The transcript is spliced from 19 exons.
UUUAAAAUACAUAAAACUCAUUUGUGCGUUGUUCAAACAUAAAACAAGGAUCUGAACUAAGACUUUCUGACGAUGAUUUAUUAUUCGUUACUAGUUAAAUUGACAGGUUGUAGUCAAACACCACCGAAAGAAUGAACCACAGGCACAGCCACAGCACAGAAUCUUGCAAAAAUAAACAAUAUUUCAUUCUUUCAUAAUAUUUUCCCAACUUUAGUAGAUUACAAUUAUGUUUUAUGGCAUUUAUGGACAAUAACAGAAGAGGACUAAUAACUGAGAAAACAUUGAUUAUUAUUAUUUUUUUAUAUUGUAAAGACAAGAAAACCAUUGUUGCAGAAAUAAUUUCUUUUUUUUUUAAAUAUCUUGACUUAAAUUGUUGUUUUAUGAACAUACAGUGACUACUGGCUUUUGAUCACAUGACUCAUGUAGAACUUGUGUUGGGAUUUCCGUUAGAAGUGUACCUUCAAGAAUGGGGAGUCCCGCUAUAGAUCCAGCAUUUCUUUUGUGUAAUAGAACGGGUUCUUAAAUACUACCCCUAAAGAGGAGUUUUAAGUUUCAAAUUUAAUGAAAAACAAAGUCCUCAAUUUGGAUACCAGUCCUACUACAAAUCACGGAGCGUAUAUUGAUGUCAGCUAGAGUCCGUGUACAAAUGCAUCAGAAACAUUCACACAGAUAAAAAUUGAAAGGAAUCAUGAGCUCUCAGCUCAAAGAUUUGGUUGCAACAGAGGUACGUGACUUCAGUUCCCAGUACGGCAAUGAAGUCAGCAUCUCAUACACUGCUAGCAACUUGGCCGGCCCAUGUCGAAUCUACCCUAAAUAUGGAGACUACACACAGUCCUGUGUCUUUCGGACAUAUGGGGACUGGUGGCACAGGGCCCCCUCGGCAAGGGAAGGCUUCAGGAGAACUCCACCUGAUUUCUGCAGCCAAGAUUAUAUAGAGCUGGCAUUUCCUGAGAAGAUAUAUCCUCUUGAGGUGCGGAUUUAUGAGACCUACAACCCUGGCUGUGUGGUGAGAAUACUGGCCUGUGAUUAUGAUGGCGAAACAGAUGUGGACACAGGACUAUGUAGGUGCCGCUGGAAGACGUUAUGGAGUGGAAGCCCUAGUAGAGUGGCCCCUGUGGCAAGGGUGUUCAGCCCACCCCUGGCACCCUGCCCCUUCCCUACUGAUUUGCUACGUAUUGAGGUGUGUCACGACAUGUGUGACUACUACACAAACCUGGACGCUGUCUAUGUCAGGGGAACCUCAAUGUGUGACUACUACACCAACCUUGACACUGUCAUCGUCAAGAGAACCUCAGAUCCACCACUUGAUGUAACCACGGCAACUAACAACUGUCAAUCAUUACCUCCCGCCGACAGUGAACCAACGCAGUCAGACAGUGGCUUGUUUUCCCUCCUGCCUGACGAAGUGAUUCAGCUGAUACUGAGCCUACUUGACCUGCUGUCCCUCUGUUGUGUCGCCCAGACCUGUAGGCUGCUCUAUCAACACAGCUAUGACAGCCUGCAGUACACAGAGCUCAAUCUACAACCCUUCUGGACUCAGAUAGAUGACUGCGCUCUCAAGAGUCUGCUGGGCCGCUCUCACUUUCUGCAAAGAUUCAACCUGUCCUGGUGCCAUGGCAACCUGCUCACAGAGACCGCCUUUACCAUGUUCAUGGAGGGUUGUGGUACCAGUCUGCGUUGCUUGUACUUGGCAUCAUGUAACUUUGUGUCACAUGACAGUCUUUCUUCUAUAUCUGAGUACUGCCCAAAUCUUGCAGAGUUGGACUUGUCCAGCUGUACCCAUAUUGAUCAAGAGCGGUUUGAUGCUUUGGCUCGUCUUACCAAACUGGAGUACCUGAAUCUGUACCGCACACACAUUGAGCAAGAGGCCAUCACCAGUAUUAUACGUUCCUGUCUGAAGUUACAACAUCUAAAUCUCGGCUCUGCCAACUGUAUUCAGAGUUAUGAUGAUGUCUUAUAUGAGCUGGGAACACAUUCCAAACAGUUGGUCUCGCUGGAUCUAUGGCGGAGUCGCACAGUGACAGACGAGGGUCUGAAGCACCUGUCUCUAGGCUGUCCUGACCUGCAGGAGAUAGACCUGGGCUGGUGUCCUGGGAUCAAGUCUCAAAGUGGCUCCAUCCAGACCCUGGUUGUGCGGUGCUAUAAACUGAGAAAGCUGUUCCUCACCGCAAACAGAACCGUCUGUGAUGAAGACCUUAUUGCCAUAGCAACGCAUUCUAGGGAUCUGGAGCAGCUGGAUAUACUUGGAACACUUCAAGUCUCAGGGACGGUAGCAACCAGGUUAUUGCAGUCCUGUUCAAAGUUGGUGUUCUUCGACGUGUCGUUCUGUUCAGGCAUCAGUGACGUCAUGUUGUACAGUUGGGCCCAGAUGUUUCCCCAGGUCAGUGUCAAGAAGAGCUUCCAACAGUGAUAGCCCAGUCCUACAGCACACUUGGCGACCUAGACCUAUUUGUUCUAAAAGCAACAUGCUGUCUUCAAUACAGAACUAUGUACUACCUCUGUUAUGGUGAACACCAUUUUUAACCAGGUUUUUAACCAGGUUUUCCGAAGGAAAAAACUGGUUAUUAGAUUGGCGAAUGCGGGCGGGCUGGCUGGCUGGCGGGCUGGUGGGCGGGCGGAACAAGCUUGUCGGGGCCAUAACUAUGUCGUUCAUUGUCAGAUUUUAAAAUCUUUUGGCACAUUUGUUCACCAUCAUUGGACGGUGUGUUGCGCGAAAUAAUUACGUCGAUAUCUCCAAGGUCACACUUUGAGUUCAAAGGUAAAAAAUGGCCAUAAAUGAGCUUGUCCUGGCCAUAACUAUGUCAUUCAUUGUGAGAUUUUAAAAUCAUUUGGCACAUUUGUUCACCAUCAUGGGACGGUGUGUCGCACGAAAGAAUCACGUCAAUAUCUCCAAUGUCAAGGUCGCCACGACUAAAAAUAGAUUUAAAAAAAAAAAAACUUACAAAGGGGGUUAAUUUUGUUUGUUCAUUUCAAAAGUUCAGUUUGAAUUUUCUCCCUUUAUCAGAUUUUUCACAAUGAAAACCUGGUUUUGUGACAAUUUUGUCCCUUGUUAUCACAUGCAUCACCAAGUUUUGUAUCAAAUAUAUAUUCUUUACGAAUAUUUAUAUUUUAAACAUGCGUAAUAAAGCUUUUUGAGCGUUUUCAUAGGCUAUUUUUUGUUUUAUGUGACCAAUCAAAUGACGUUUUAAUGCCCCUCUUCAAAAAAGAGGGGGUAUAUAUUGUUUUUGCUGGAUGUCGGUCGGUCUGUCUGUCGGUAGACCAGUUCAUUUCCGAUCAAUAACUCGUCAACGAAUUGACCGAUUGUCUUGAUACUUCACAUGUGCAUUGGCCUUGGACAGUAGAUGACCCCUACAGAAAUUGGGUUCACUAGGUCAAAGGUCAAGGUCACAAUAAGUGUGAAAAGCGUUUCCGAUCAAUUACUCAUCAACUAAUAGACCGAUUGGCUUGAUACUUCACUCGUGAAUUGGUCUUGGACAGUAGCUGACCUCUACAGAAAUUGGGGUUACUAGGUCAAAGGUCAAGGUCACUGUAACAAUAAGUGUGAAAAUUGUUUCUGAUCAAUAAGUCAUGAACGAAUUGACCGAUUGGCUUGAUACUUCACAUGUGCAUUGGCCUUGGACAGUAGAUGACCCCUAUUGAAAUUGGGUUCACUAGGUCCAAGGUCAAGGUCACUGUCACAAUAAGUGUGAAAAUCGUUUCCAAUCAAUAAUUCGUCAACCAAUUGACCGAUUGGCUUGAUACUUCCCAUGUGUAUUGGUCUUGGACAGUAGAUGAACCCUAUUGAAAUUGGGCUCACUAGGUCAAAGGUCAUAGACACAGUCACAAUAAGUGGUAAAAUCGUUUCUGAUAAAUUACUCGUCAAUGAAUCGACCGAUUGGCUUGAUACUUCCCAUGUAUAUUGGCCUUGGACAGUAGAUGACCCCUAUUAAAAUUCGGGUCGCUAGGUCAAGGUCACUGUCACAAUAAGUGUGAAAAUUUUUGGCGAUCAACAACUUGUCAACAAAUUGAACGAUUGGCUUGAUACUUCUUAUGUGAAUUGUCCUUAGACACUAGAUGACCCCUAUUGAAAUUGUGGUCACUAGUUCAAAGCCCUGUUUGGGGGGCAUACGUCUCCAACCGCAGAACUCUUGUUUUUGCUAAAUUGAUGUUGAAACGUCAAGUGAUGACGUGCAAUGUAAUCAACUAUCCGAUUUUGUCAUUUCGUUCAUGUACAUAUGAAAUUUGUGUAACUAAUUAAGAAGCAUGUUAUAAAAACAUUUGGUACUUGUCAUUUGCAUUAUGAAUUAUUGAACCAAAAAAUGUUAGCCUGCCAAAGGCUCGCUAACCAGAAAUAAAUCAUGAACUCAUUAAAUAAACUAUGGUAUGAAAUUACAACUCAUGGUAGAUCCUCUAUUUAUGAUGUACAACAGUAACCCAGGCAUUAUAUUAUUUGAAAACUGUAACUUUUAUUAAAUAUCUUAAAGAUUAUUGUUAUAUAAAAUUACAUUGAUGCAUCGACUGAAAAAAAAACGUUUAUUAAUCAAGACAAAUAAGUAUAAAAGGGUUUGUAUAUUAACCAUUAUAUGUUGUGGUGACUACUCAGCUGUCUUGAAUCUGUGACAAAACGUUUGAGAUAUUUAUGCACUCAUAGGCAGGUCCUAUUGAUAUAUUGAAAGAAUCUGAUAUCAAACUCAGCUGGCAUGAACUUUUACCAUGUGUACAACAGAUAUAGUCGCAUGGACACUUCUUCUGGGAGUUGGUUGAUUGUAUAUAUGUAACAUCUCAGGGCAACACGAAUCUUUGCUUGUACUGCACCCUCAAAUAUUUGCUCAAUCUAAACCCUCCAAUAGGCGUCUUGCUAAAACCUUAACAUUGGCUCUAAAAUCAAAGUGCUUCCACCUACAACUUUGAAAUUUCAUAUGUAGAUGCACCUUGAUGAGUUCUACACGCCACACCCAUUUUUGGGUCACCAGGUCAAAGGUCAAGGUCACUGUGACCUCUUAUAUUUAACUUUAACAUAAACCUUAACAUUUGCCCUAAAAUCAAAGUGCAUCCACCUACAACUUUGAAAUUUCAUAUGUAGAUGCACCUUGAUGAGUUCUACACGCAACACCCAUUUUUGGGUCACUAGGUCAAAGGUCAAGGUCACUGUGACCUCUAAAAAAAUAAUUUUGACAAGCUUUCAUUUAUUCAAAACUGCACCCGUAGCCGAGCGUGGCACCCGUUAUGCGGUGCUCUUGUUUGUUAUAUAUUCACCCUUCCAUCUAAGUCAACUCGCAACCUACCAGUAGUACUCCAUUAACAUGAAAUGAUGUCUCGUGUUCUACAGCUGAAUAUUAUUUUCCAACUCUUUACAUAUUUUUCAUGGUUAACGUUGCUUUUUAACACCUCAGCAUCCAUUUGUCUGUGAUAAUACUCGUGCAUUAUAUCGUGUAUUGUACUUUGCUUUGUCAUGGAAUAAAAUAUGUACCAUUCUGA